UGGGGAAUAUUGCACAAUGGGGGAAACCCUGAUGCAGCGACGCCGCGUGAACGAAGAAGGUAUUCGUAUCGUAAAGUUCUGUCCUAUGGGAAGAUAAUGACAGUACCAUAGAAGAAGGCUCCGGCUAAAUACGUGCCAGCAGCCGCGGUAAUACGUAUGGAGCGAGCGUUGUCCGGAAUUAUUGGGCGUAAAGGGUACGCAGGCGGUUUAAUAAGUCGAAUGUUAAAGAUCGGGGCUCAACCCCGCAAAGCAUUGGAAACUGAUAAACUUGAGUAGUGGAGAGGAAAGUGGAAUUCCUAGUGUAGUGGUGAAAUACGUAGAUAUUAGGAGGAAUACCAGUAGCGAAGGCGACUUUCUGGACACAAACUGACGCUGAGGUACGAAAGCGUGGGGAGCAAACAGG
Molecule: ribosomal RNA, 403 nt
Filed under: bacterium
Lineage: Bacteria
Description: partial 16S ribosomal RNA
Rfam family: Bacterial small subunit ribosomal RNA
Source: RNAcentral